This is a non-coding RNA of Podarcis lilfordi (Lilford's wall lizard), 564 nucleotides long. NCBI's taxonomy places the organism in Eukaryota, Metazoa, Chordata, Lepidosauria, Squamata, Lacertidae. The record is from the annotation of a GenBank genome assembly.
GGCCCUACUAAACAUCUUCCAAGACAACAAUGCCCAUUUAUACCACAAAGAACUCAUAACCCACCUACUUUCAGCAGCCAGAAACACCAUAACCAGACACUGGAGAGACCUGUCAGGAGUAAACAUGGACCAAUGGUACCAAAUAGUAUGGGAAACAGCUCUACUAGAAAAAUUAACUAAUAAACUGAAACUGACACGGGGACAAACAGAAGAAGACGCCUUCACCCCGGUAUGGCUCCCAUUUACACAGCCCAACAGGACAAUGACAAUAAUCCACCAACAGCAUACAAAUCAAUAUGGCUAACCUGAUCCAAAACACCCACCCACCUCACUCACACACGAAAACAAAGAUCACCACAGCCAAUCACAAGCAAACAAUCACACCCUAGGCCAACCCCAACCUCUCUCACCACCAAAGGAACACAAGUGAACAACACAAGCAACGCUGACACCAAACUCUACAUACAUUAAACAUAAUAGAAACACUGCCACCCGACCCCACCCCCAUCCAUCUUCCCUCUCUCCACCCCCCUUUCUUUUUUCCUUUUUUUCUUCUCCCCCUAA